UUCUGCCUUAUGCCCCUCAGUCGAAUUCUUUCUUCUGAGAAGGCAAGAAUUGAGGUUGCUGUAGACCUAUACCGAUUUGCCGCCGGUAACAUACGUUGGUGCUGCGUGACUUGGAUAACUUCCAACACUGACACUGGGAGAUACGGGUGCUAUGUCUUUCUCUGAGAUCCUGUGUAAGGAACAUGGCUGUGCUUUGGUCAAGGAUAGGCCAAGGCGGACAUGGGGGAGCCAGGACACAGCUCGGCCUGCUAGUGCCCACAGACAGGAAGAGUUAAACUGCUGACUCUGAAGGCAGGGAAGAGCCAGCCAUGCAGCUGUAUGUGGGAGCCGCCAGAAUAAGCAGCCGAGACAGGGCGGACAGUGUGAGAAAGCCGUUGAUUGGAGCUGCUGAUGAAUAAAAUCAUCUUUCACCUGCCUACGGCCCCCCGAGU
This 431-nucleotide long non-coding RNA is filed under the name Homo sapiens (human). Its description in RNAcentral is "HSALNT0358214". The record is from RNAcentral. Lineage: Eukaryota; Metazoa; Chordata; Mammalia; Primates; Hominidae.